Molecule: long non-coding RNA, 13944 nt
Organism: Monomorium pharaonis (pharaoh ant)
Lineage: Eukaryota; Metazoa; Arthropoda; Insecta; Hymenoptera; Formicidae
Exons: 2
Source: RefSeq, a predicted model, not a curated record
UAUUAAAAAAUAAUUAAUUUACAUAAAUGUCAAUUCGCGAUUAGACAACGUAAAUUUUGCUAUUCAAAUAAGUGUAAAAAGUAGCAUUACAAAUUAAAUUGAAUUUUUUGCACAUCUCAAUAAAAGUCAAACAAAAUUCUCGUGCAAAAGUUCAUUAAAAUCCACUUACUCAUUUAAAAGUUACCUACAAUAAAACUGCAGUAAAAAUGUGAUAAAUUUCGCACACAAGCCAAAUUAUUCGUUGUUUUGUUCUUUGUAGUUUUUUCAGGGGCAGAAUUAAACAUUUACGAUCAAAACUUCUUUGUCAUCGAUUAGGAAAGCAAAUCUAAAUUUAUAGUUUAAAAUUUCGACAACUUUUAACUGAUAUUGUAUACUCAAAGUGUCUUUAUAUUCGUUCUGUAGCGCUGGCAAGUGAUUUUUUGGUUCGCGCGCAAAUUCAAGGGGGGAAGCCAUCGGUCACGUUUUCCGCGCACACGACUCGCGAGAGUGACCAACUUCACGGCGAACAAUUCGUGGUGUGCGUCAAGGUGGGCGAUCGUUUCGCGCUCCGUGCUCAUUUAAUGAAAUCGUGGCGACGCGUAUUGGAAGCCGGCGUUUGCCGCGGGGAAACGAAAUCACUCGGCACAUCCACCUCGUCACGUGUUAGAGACAUUACGAGGGAAAACGGUAUCGUUGCCCGCGGUCUUGGUGUUUGUUUAUGCAGCGCACGACGUCUAAGCAAGGUUACUGCCAUUUACUCGUACUACGACAUUCGGACCAAUGGUUGGCGACGUGGACCGUGGUAUUUCGGCAUUACUCCCUCAAGUCAGAUUGCAACAAGUAAUAACGAAAUAUCUGACGCGUACAUUCUCUACAGUUACAUACGUAAUUAGCAGCAUGCGCGAGUAAUCAAUUCUCGUGACUGAUCUCUCUCUCUCACUCUCUCUCUCUCUCUCUCUCUCUCUCUCUCUCUCUCUCUCUCUCUCUCUCUCUCUCUCUCUCUCUCUCUCUCUUCCUCUCUCUUUCACUUUCACUCCUCGUAAAUACGAGUGUGGUCGUGUGACAAUCGUACUUUUCUUCGCGUUAUUCUUCUGUCACAAAUAACGUGUGAUUAUUGUCGGGAGUAUUGCGAAGUGCCGCGAUAUCGUAAUUAACUUUGCUUUUGCGAGUGCGUGUAAUAUGUGUGCGACAAAGAUCCGAGAUGAGAGGAAGGAGGAGGAGGAGGAGGAAGAAGAGGAAGAAAAGCAGACAUCAGGCGAAGCCAUAAGAUUACAUCUUGUGCAUAUCGUACUGGUGAGUAUUAAAUUAUAUUUAUUUUAAUUUUACAGCAGUGGAUUUAUUUAAAUUAUUAAUCACAUAAAUGAAUAAUAAUAAUAAUGUGUGAAGUAGAUCGAAAAAGAAUUAAAGAAUUAAAGAUAUUCUAUUAAUUGUUGAUAAUUCCUUUAUAAUUAUACAUAUAGAUUUUAUAAUAUAUAUUUAUAGAAGCAAACUUCUACUUAUUCUUAUAAACAAAAUCCCUGAGUUUAUUAUAUGUAUGAUAGCUAAUUUUUAUUAAUAAGCACUAAAUUGAUAAUCAAGUAUUUAUUAGCUUUUCACUCGUGAAGUUUAAUGUUCGCUCGAAAUUUAAUGUUUUUAAUAUUACAAAAUUACGAGUGAAAAUUAUUACGAAAUAUGCGAGAUUUGGAAUUAUCGAUGGUUAUUACAAAAGCAGAAUCCGCAAAACGAAAUAUUUUAUCUCGUUUCCAAUUUGUAUUUGUUUGAUAUUGAACAUAUUUCGCGAAUUUGUCAUAAAUAUAUUUUAUUGAAAAAAUUUCUAAUUUACAUUCCGCGAUAAAUAAUUAAUAAUAUUAGAAAAAAUUGCAAACACUUUUCUUCACUUUCUCAAAUGCGAUUGUUCCCUUAGCUACUUUUUGUCGGAUAAAUGUUAAGAAAUACAUUUGUAUUCCGACGAGAACUCAUGAUCUUUACUAUGGAAUAUCUUUUUUUUUGUUAUUUUAAUGUGGAAAAUGUACAUGGAAAAUUGAGGACCUCGGUGCAGAGCUAAAAUUAAACUCGAGUUUUAUUAAAUUAUAAUCCUCAGAAACAAUAAUUGGUAAAAAUUGAUAAGGAUUUAUUAAAUAUUAACGUAUUAUUAAAUACAUUCUUUUGUAGUCGCUUUUCGCAAAAAAUUAUUCUAUUCAUAUUUUGAUAUUUAUUUUUGCAAUAAUAGAAAUACAUAGUUGUUAAUAACGGAAGAAUUUUUUCGCGUGAAUAUAUUGAUUCCAGUACAAUAAAUAACAAUAAUACAGAAAAAUUGUAUAAUGUUUGCAUUAUAAUGGUUUGAAAAACCGUGACUGUCAUUAAUCUACUAAAAUGACCACUAUUAGGAACAACCUGGGAAACUUGCAGGAUUCGUUCCUUCCUGCAAUGGAGUCCUUAAUGUUCAACUGGCUGCUUAACUUUUCUCCGCAAUUUAAUCUUAUGAGGCCCGUCAGAAGCAGGGCACAUUCAAUUCGCUCUCCACCUUAAGAAUACUUUUUCUUUAGGUUGACAAAGUAUGAGUAGGCUGUUCAAUAGAGCAACCUCGCGAAUUGAUCACAUUAUUAAGCUAAUUAUUUUCAUUGCGCUGUUAUUUUUUACCGAUUGUUAAAAUUCAUACAAGGCAUUUUUAUUUUAUAAAGUAAAAAAUAUUGAACUCUGAUCAAUUAUUUGAUUCAGUCAAUAUAAUAUUGAAGUCGUGUAGAAACGCGAUUACGGAAAGCGCUCAAUACAUGGAGCAAUAAUUAUGGAAAAUUCCUAUUGCACUGCAGAAGUACAUUACAGAGAUUACUCGCAUUGCAAUCGGACAUCGAGAGUAUCGAUCAAUUUAUUCAUCACAUUUGCAAUACAAAUUUUUAAACCAUGAUUUAUCUUCUAUCAUAUUUGAUCAUUGAUUUAUAUUGAAGCUUACUUUCGUAUUCAAUAUUUACUUCGAAAGUAUUACAAAAUAUAUUUAAACUUAAUAUUUUCCUUUAUGAUUGAAAGACAUAAAUUUAUUUAAUUAAUCCCAUUGUUUGCGUUAAAAAACUUAAUAAGUUCUGUUACUAAAAGUACAUUGAUAAUUAAUGUCACAUAAUAUCCCAUUAAUAUAUCAAACAAUUAACAAUUAAUAACAAUUAUAUGUUUGAUAUAAAACUGCGUAUUUUAUGUUAUUGGAAGUACGUUUUUCUUUUUUUAAUAUAUUUGCGUUAAUAAAAUGUUACAAAAAUACAUGAAUGCAUGUAAUUUAAUCGUACACGAUAUUUUAUAUUUUUGCAUUACACAAUAAAUUGUAUCCUCUUAAAAUAAAUUGUAUUAAUUUUUAUUAAAAUAAAAAUUAAUACAAAAAGUAAAAAAAAUAAAAAACCAUCAAAGAAAAAACAGAGAGCUGCCUAUUAAAAUCAGUAGAGAUGAUAGAAGACACUCUUGAUCCAUUUUUACUGGAUAUUUUAACUCACAUCUAAAACUGAAACUAAAAUUGACACUAAUCAAGACAUAAAAUUAAUUAAAAUUAAAAUUGAAAUUGUUUUAGAAAACUAUUAUUUAGAGUCUUAGUACAAAUAUAAAAAUAAGGUUACAUUUUUCUGGCGGCAUAAUUAAGAAUGUAAUAAAACAAUUAACAUCGGAAAUGUCAAAGAUCUAUUCCGUUAUCUUGUAAUAAAGUGUACGCAAGACCAAAAUUAAUCAGUAAUUAUUUUAUUUUUUUAAUUUACUUAAAAAAUAUUUGCAGACGUUCUUAAUUUCUUAAAACUAUAUAUUUCUCUCGGGACUCUAAGAUAAUACAUAAAGUUAUAUGAAACUAAUUUACAUAACUACUUUCUCAAAUGAGCUAAAUAUCAGAUUUCAUUUUUUUAGCAAAUAUUACAUUUAAUAUGCGUUAUUAUUCUGUAUUAAAAUUAACUUAAAAAAUGUAUGAUUUGCCGUGAAUUUAUUUUAUUAAAACAUCUUGUGGCAAUUAAUCAAUACAAUAUCUCGUUUCUGCAGCGUACUAUCAUUUAUUAACUUCUUUGUGAAAUUUUUUAUUAAUAAUUCUUUCUUCCUAUAUAAUAUUUUACUUAUAAUAUAUCUUGAAAUAUAUCUAUGCAAAUAAUAUGCAUGAGCAUUUGACGUGAAUAUAUUUUAUAAAGCAUUAAAUCAUGGCAACGAUCGGUAUAAUAUCUUAUUUCUACAGCAUAUAGUUUAUAAUUUUUUUGAAAAAUUCUUUAUUAACAAUAUUUUUUCUUCUAUAUAAAUAUCUUGUCCAUAAAUUUUAUAUAUACAAUUCUGUGCAAUUUUCAUUUCUAUGCAAAUAAUGUAUCAAGAAAAAUUUUCUAACAGAGUAGUUUAUGACUCUGAAAACCGUCGUGACUUCAAUUUUUAUAAUUAUUUUUAUGAACUUUUUUGUAGUCCAACUGUAAUCUCCCAAAUAUCAAAAUACUGUUAAAAUAUUAUGAUUACGUGUACUAUAUAUUAUGCAGAUGUAUUUAAACCAUUAAACAUUUUAUGACAAUAACUAAAUAUUAAUAUAGGAGGAAGGAUCUCUCUCUGUUGCCUAAGUUAACAAUGGAAUUGCGAAAAUUACCCCAUUAUUAUAUAAACCAAAACUACUUUGUUCAUCGAGAAAUUAUGCAGUUAAACUCUGAACAUGCCGCUGUCAGCCUUUGCGAAAUUUGAAUUAUUGUCGCAAACGCAACUGGUCAGUCCGAAUGAGACUCGACCAAUGGAAAUGUUCGCCUUCUGCGAGUUACUAUGCGCGCAAAGUUCACCUAAAUGCAGUUAGCCGCUAUGAUUACGGAACUAUUGUUGUAACGCCGCGCAGAGUUAAUAUUCCGUAUUCCAACGUCUGUUUGGACGUUAUCAUGUGCUGCGCGGGUGCACACAGAGCUCGAUAGUGUUUACCUUUGCUCGACGUACUGCACAAAAUUAGUUCUAAUUACGCGGCUUUUAUGCAUUACUUCCUUGGCAGUUACAUCACGUUUUUCGCCGAAGCUACACUAUGUGCGCGCGCGCGAGCGAUCUAAUUUAUCACAGUGACCGGUCGGACAGUCGCGAAAUUGCAUUCUCGUGAACACUUGCCUGACAUAACGUUCCUCUAUCACCGCUGAAACUUGCAUUUAUCAUUUGCAGAUCGCAUUAAUGUUACGCGCAAUUAUCACUGCUAUUAUCGCGCUCGUUGCCUACCGGUUCGCCAGUUUAAUCAACCUUUUAUUAUCGUAAAACGUUUUAUAUCUGCGCGUAAUGCGCGCGAUUAUACGCGCUCUCGCGAAAAUUUAUCGCAUUUUGUCCUCUUUGUUUCGCGAGAAUGAAAGAAAAGCGCAAUGUCCCCCUCUAAUCUAAUGCCCGACGCAAUUAAAAAAGAAGGAUAACGCGAUUUUCUUAGGCGCAGGCCCCUCCGUCUCGCACGAAACAUAUUUUUUGUACUUAUGUUUGAUAGAUUUACAUAUCGUAACCGAAGAUUUAUGGUCCCUCGGCGAUCGUGCUCGUGCAAGUUUAUAUUCAUUAACCGCGAAAUAAGACGCGCAAUAACUUAACGCGCUGCGUUUAGAGCGCCUUUCAUAAAGGACGCAGUCAAAUGGGUCCGACGUGCAAAGUCUCGCCAAUAAUCUGAUUUAUUGUUAUUGCCUGAAUAUGAGACGCGCGCGGAGAACGCCUUUGAUUUCGUUGCUCGGUGCAGCGAGUUCGCCGUGUGGUAUUUCGCAAUGUGCCUUGCGUAUAGCUCAGUCAUUUCAUCCCGCAAAUUGCAUCGCGCGAAACGUCAUUUACACACAGGAUUUCGAUACAGUAGUUACCUUAAACUUCGCUUCACGGACGAAUAGACGUCGCGCGUGUGGAACGCACGAAUACGCGCGUCAAAAUUCCAACGGGGGGCAAUUACUUGUUAAUUCAAAUAGACGAGUUGUGUCAUAUGAAUUUGGAACAGUAAGCAUAUUUAAUUUAUGCGGUUAUUGCGUAUAAUCGCUGAUUAUUAUUAAUUAUUGCGUUUAAUUAUCCAAUGAUGGAAUUAGUCGAAAUUUAUUCUCAUGUCACGCUGCACCUAAUUAAUCAUUAUAACGCUGCUUUGCGUACAGAACGUUUGAUGCAAUUUAAAAAAUAUUUAACAUUGUUGUUUUCUUGAAAUAUUAAUAUUGUUGAUUUACAACGUUUGUAGAGAAGAGUCGCCUGCAUAGGUCUUCCAAAGCGACAUUUCCUUAUUUUUCAGAAAGCUACACUUUAAUUAAUGCCGCUAAAAACACGAUCUACUUAGGCACUUUAUACUUAUGUAUUUCUAAAGUUUUAAUUUUAAUUUUUCUCAAAAACAACAGUGGUAUUGGUGACCUUAUUCUACUUGUCAGGCUAUUAUCUAGCACCGCACCGUAUUGUUGCCUCCGGCAACGCUGUACCAUUUCUUUUACUUCGUUUCUCUCCAGCAGUUAUUAUCAUCUGUUCUCGCGAUGCGUUGUGUCUGUGCGUUUCGCGAGUGGGUUUACCGCCGGCAGCAUAUUUCGCUGCAUUCGGGCCGUCUGAUUUAUGACUGCGGACUGGCCAUGCAGUUUAUGAAACUGUACUCGCGCGCAAACACUCCGGUUAGAUAAUACAUCCCGUCGUCACUUUCGACUUCCCCGCCUGCACCGCGUUCCAUCGGGAAAAUGCGCGCAAUAAAUCCAAGCGUGGGAUCGACGAAUCGACGAUCGAUUCCAGGCGAGCUGAAUUUUCCCUUUGUUCUCGAAGCCGGGAAAAUGAAGCGAAUUCUUAUAAGCUCGAUUAACGCUUGCUCGAUACACUUGAAAAGCGAUUGACAGUAUAUUACAUUCCCGGAGCUUUUGCCGCUAGAUUGCUCCGAUAGUAUUGCGAUAGUAGCGCUGGUGAUUAAAAUAUGAAUAUGAAUGCGGAACGGCGCGGCGGCGGCGAGCUCGCACAGUUGAUUCGCGCGGCCGUGUAACCAAUUGUAAAUAACUCGGAAAUUAUGGAAAGUAUUCUGCAUAAUUUGCACAAUAAUGGCGAUAAUAACUGCUGGAAACGAGGUUGAUUAAUUGCGCGCCGCUCCCUCGAUUUUCGACGAUUCGCUCUUCGCUCGUUUUUCGUUUUGCUCCGCGCGAUACGAUCGCUCGCUGUCACAGCCCCGCUCGCGGAUGCAGCGUCGUUUCACGGGCUCGUAUAUACGGCGUGCAAAACGUCCCCGUAAUCUGAUUUAUCGUUCACGGACGGCGGAACAGUUUAUAAAACUGGGCGCACUCGAAUACUUCCUAUACGCUGUCCAGGCUGACUCAGUUAGUAUGACUAUCCCUCAACUGCCCCUGUCGAAAAAAAAAAUUCCCGUCCACGAACUUUUCGAAAUCUGCCGGCGCUAACGCGAACGCUGAUAGUAAAACAUUUCAUGUUACGAAUCAUCUGAUUGGACAUUUCCCUCCGCAUUAUAUUUCCUUCCACAAUAUAUUUGAAUAUUCCAAGUUGUCGAAAGUAAUAGCUCUAAUUGAAUGGUAUUGAAGGAAAUAACAUUGCAAUCGUUAUCUAUAAUAUUACUUAUAUAUAGGAUUGCAAUUAUUAUUUUAAUUCAAACGAAUAAAGGAGAUAUUUUCAAACAAUUAUUUAUCUGAGCUGAAAGGGUACAUUAAAAAUGCAUAUCAUGAUUUGCACACAUUUCAUGUAAAUUUAUCGAGCAUUGUUCUUCUAUUUACUGCUACACUAUUGAAUAACACGUUCGGUAUGCAUUAUACAUAUGAUAAUGAUUAUUAUUCUUGUUGUAACAUAUUGGAAUUACGUGGGAACGAUCGUCUGCGCGUUGAUACGCGGUAGAAAUUGUUUUAGUCGUUCCAACAACGACAGCUCGUGCCACCGAAAUAUAACUCUCGCGAUUUUUCCUCCCACUUCUCGUGGCUCCUUCUCUCUUUUUUUUUUGUUGUUGUUGUUGCCACCGACAAUCAUUUGCUUUCUCGCGAGUCCGUGGCGCGGAUUUCACGGUGGUGUACGGCGUGCGAAAUGUUCGCGUAAUCUGAUUUAUUGUCAUGGCCGGGGAAGGGAGGAGAGGGCAGUUUAUGGAAAUGGGUCUUCUCCCGCGGAUGUUCGCUUUAUAUUGGGUGAGAGCUCAACGUCCCGGCACCAGCGCGUAUUAUCUCCUUUCGCGACUCGGCAGGCUCCUCUCUCGCUCCUUUUAAUUCCGUCGAUUAUUUUGUUUUUCAACGACACCUUAUUAUCACCGCCCGUUAUUAUUAGACACGCAAUACGCAAUGUCAUUGUGAGAAAUGAAAAUCAAUUAAAAUAAAAUUAUCGACAGUAAUUAAAAAAAAUCGCGUUAGUACCGAACGGAUACGUUUGGAUGGAAUUAAAGCUAAACUAAAAAGAAGCAAGACAAAUUAAGCGCGUAUGUGCUUCGAGAGGUGCAUAAAUCACGCGAGGGAUCGCGCUACGCUCUCGCUGGCUCCACUUUGAAAUUUUUCGCGGCAAAGGAGAGAGAGAUUCGCGCCGACCGCAGCUUCGAUUCCGCGCAUCUUUCGGAAUGCGGCAUUUACCGUUCGCCUCGAAAUGAAUUUCGCAACGGCGGAAGCGGCGCGGCGCGCUCCACCGCGCGAUUCGACGUGCAUGCCAAUUAACGGGAGAGCGACCAUAACGGGCAAAUUUGCAGCUGGCGGACUGCAGACCGGCCCCGGAUAUUUACGAUCGAUCAAAUCACGGGAUCAUAGAAUUCUAGCCUAAAUAGCGCGGCCGAUGUUAUUAGGUGAGCGUACGCCUCGUAAAAUCCAGGACUUUCUAGCCGCGCUGUGUAUUAACGGAAAAGUUCGCGAGCCCGAACGGGCUACGAUUGGUUCCGGCGGAUCGAUCGUAUUGCGUUAUCCCUGCGAUCGAUUAUCACAUAUUGUUUUUCCAAACAAUGCGGCGCCGACGCAAAUCCACGGUGAAUACGAUAUUAGCAGUGAAUUACAACCAACAGCGGAUUAUUCGCGUCGCGAGGAACAUGAUUUUAUCAUUGUCGUUAUUACUUAUCGCGGUCGUAUCGACGUUUCCUUCUUGAAAAUGAAAAAGAAGAGAAGAUCGCGCGAUUAUUGCGGCAUCGCGAUGACACCGACCAUGACGGAUAUCGCGGAUAUAACGUGAAGACGAUGGCGUCGUGGCACUUCUCCUCCACCUACGAUAGGGUAGGUGCCGAUAAGGGACUAUUAGGAGACGCGUUUGGAAUCUCGAGCACCUAAGGGUCUGAUCACUAAGGAGCAUUAGCACUUGCGAUCAAGUUCCCGCCGGGACGUGCACUCCCCCUCCCCUCCUACCCCCUCCUCGACGUGCCGGCGUAUGCACACAGGGCCACGUAUGCGCGCCGCCCCGUCCCUUCGCACCUCACCCCCUUCCCGCUCCCGCAGACCGGAAUAUGAUCCGUAUCGUACGUUCGUUCACUCACACGCGCGAAACUUACGCGCGAUCGUUACUAACGAACUGGCAUUUCUUGCGCGUUUCGGCUGGAGCCUCGUGCCGGAGCUCGCGCCGGAAUUCCGCAUAAACGAACAUUCUCGCGUAUGGUAAGAGAGAGGGAUAUCGCACGAGAGAUAUCCGCCCAGUCUAAAGUCAAUCUGAUGAUCCGCGAGGGAUUCGUCGUCCAAAGAAUCGCAAAAGUGUUUCAGUGUCACGAAAUACUAAAAUAUUAAAUAAGAUAUCUCGUGGCAAAAGCGCGAUCGUUUAAAAGUAGAUUUGCCCCGAUGCAAAUAUUUUUUUAAUGGGGGAUAUUUCGUUCUGAGAUUUCUUUUUUUUUUUUUUUAAAUUCGUGAAUUAAACAGCCGGGGGAUUUGAAGCCCGCGCAACGACAGAUCGCCGGCGGUUUAUAUUCCGAAACAUUCCGAAUUUUUAUUCUAAAUAUAUAUUCCAUUCUCUAUUUUAUUUCAUUUUAUCAGACACCUAUCAUCGUCGGAUCUUUAUAUAUUCGAAUUUGAAAUUGGAAAUAUCGCUUCAGGCUGAGCUUCAUCAAUUGUUUGCCGCGGACCUCGGGGUGCGCCGCGCCGGUGCAUGGUAUGCACGUAUAUAUGGAUAUCGUGUACCAACGCACGGGACAAUAUGUAAUACCGCGCGUCGUACAGUUUAGCAUAUUGAUCGUACAACGGCUGUAUAACGGUCGAAAUUAUCUCCGCGACUCUGUACAAUGUUCCCGAGUGAUCAAAAUAUUUGCAAUCACAGCGUGUAACACGACGUUUUACCAAGUACUCGACAAGUAUCAGCGAUGCUAUGGCGCCCGUUCGAUUUUCGCUAAUGAAACUUUCGAAAACCGAAAUUACCCACGCGCACGCGCGCAGUGCGCUCGUCCCCGCGCCGCGAUGAGAGAGUAUUCGCAGCGGACCCGUAGAAUGUAUUGACGAGUGUUCGUUAUCAAAGAUAUUAUUUUCCGCGCGAUAGUUGGACCGAACGCGAAGUUUCGCCGAAUGGAAACGGUCUGUAACACACCGUACAAUGUACCUGCUCUCCCCUUCCCCCCCCCCCCUCCGCGGGUGAUGAAAAUAUUGGCAGCCGUAGACUGUAAUAUUAACAAGUAGUUGACAGAUCGCAGGACCCCGGUUAUCAAGGAUAUUAUUCUCCGUGCGGAUAUUGAUCGAAGUUUCGGCAGGAGUUACUCCUGAUAUUGUACAAUACCUGUCGCCGCAUGAUGAAAAUAUUGGCAGUCACGGGAUGUAACACCGCAUUUGAACAAUAGAUAUUGAAUAAAUUGCAAUAGCGUGGGGGGGGGCGGUGGAUGAGGGGGAGGGACAUCAAUUUUUAUAAAAACUAAAUGAAAAUUACGAACAAAAGUGCUUAUGAAUCUAUAACUGACUUUGCUGAAUGAUAAAAAAUGUUAGCGAUCGUAAAAUUUAAUUCCCAACUUAAACCAAAUAUACCGGACAAGUUAUAACAAUGUAUUGACAUCGUUUUUCACAAAUUUCGCUAACGGGAGAUAUAUGUCGUUCUGUAUAUCAAUAUCUUUCGCGGAAAUAUUUGUGGUCAUAAAAUGUAAUAUUUAAAAAAAAAUGUAACAAAUCAGAAGAACUAUCGACAAUUUUUAUCGACCGUUUUUGUCCAUUUUUUAUUACGGAAUCCAUUUAUCUGGAGGUCCAUUAAGCCUGAAAUCAGCAGGCUGCCUGCCCGCUACAAAAUCCAAUACUGCUGGACCGUGAAUUUUCGGUGAUACGAGAAGAGCGAUUGGAGGACUGUUUUAAAUCGCGAUUUAUUUGCACCGUAUCUUCCGACAAAAAUGUUAUUCUCUAUACAUAGAGCAAGUAGGCGCCUGAUUUUUCUAAAGUAAUAAUGUCAUAAUUUUUUUCUAAAUUUGUUUUACUUUUGUGCUUGUAAUUCACGAUUAAAAAUAUAGAUGCAUGCAAUUUUGAUAACUACUUUGCCUCUUUUAAGUUAACUUUUGAAAAGAGAUAUUGCUCUUAUAUUAUAAUUAUUAUUAAUUACUUCUUUUUACUAUAAUUUAUUUAUAUAAAAUAAAUGCAAUGUAAAAGUCGCCAAUAUCGAUGUAGAUUUUCUAAAGCGAUAUCCCCUUAUUUCUUGAAAACUAAAUACUGCACUAUUUUCUUUCGCGCAAACUGUAUAGUUUAAAUAAUAGUGAAUAUAUUAAAUUAUUUUACAGAUUUGUAGCGUCUUUUUUAUAUCGUUAAAAACUUAAUUAUUGCAAAAUUUGAAACGGUAUUAUAAAAUACUGUACUAUAAAAAUUAUAUCAUCUAAUAGAAGACAUUUUCUAGUUUGUAAUUGUGUCUCUAAAAUGUUACUUUUAAUUUUUGUUUACGAAAUAUCAUUUAAAAACAAAAUAGUAUGAGAUCGGGGAAAACUUUCCUCUACUUAUAAAACAGAUUAUAUUCUGUAUGAUGUUUCUGUGCCAUUUUCUCGCUGAGCAUUUUUCUCCGUUAACUUUGGUAAUUUACUUUGUAUAUGGAAAUACACAUUGUCAGACCAUUCUCUUUCCACGGUAGUGUAAUUCGUACAUGUAACUACACGUCCCAUUGGGCGCUGUGUGUCGUCGCAAUACAACACGUGUGUUAAGUAAAAGCCCAUCAGGCUGAUGAGGAUCGGUCUGCUCGUGCUUCGCAUUUACACUUAAUUAAGCCUGGGUUUACAUCAAGAAUGCGACGUUUAUGGCUGUGGUCGAUUCUAAUUCCUUCCUUACAUUACUGGCACGUAUCACAUAAAUCAAGUCCCAAAUUGGACAAAUUGCAUUUAGCCUUGAAAAAUGAGGCAUUAUUUAACAAGUUUAAUGCUAACUAGUAACAUUUCUUACCAACUUUUAAUCCAAAAUAAAGAAGUUUUUAAUUUGCACGGGUUUUGUACUUUGAAAAGUACGUGGCGAGUAUCUCUUAUAAUUACAAUAAGCCUCCAAUUUUUUGUUAUUAAUUUUUACUGCAUCAUCUUUGAGUGCGUUAGCUGGGCUUAAUCCAUUCCGUAAUGUACGAAAGUUAUACAUGCAUUUAAUUGACUAUGAUGACACAAAUCUGUCAAAGUCAGUAAUUUUGCACGCGUUUUCUUCCGUUCCUUUCCGCUACAGAUACGUUAAAUAGAAUGGGUUACGUUAAAGAAAUGCACAGCUUUUCUCUGAAAUACAUGUAAAGUCGCGGUUGAUAUCCUAGCCACUGUAUGCGGGCAUUAAGUAGAGGCCAUCAGACUGAUGAAUGCGGGUCUUUCACGGUCGGCAGAAAAAUUCAUGCUGUCACCUCGCCGCCGGCUUUUUGCUUCAGCGUCCGCGAAUUUUUCACGUCGUUGCUUGAACCCGCGAAGCCGUGUCCGCGCGUGUAAGCCGCGUGCACGUGCGUUCGCACGCGAGUGAUGAUGGACAGAUACACAGGCUCUGCUCUCCUCCUCCUCCCCUCCUUCUUUCUCUCUCCUUCUCUCUCUUAUAAAAACCUUCGAAGCGUACACGAGCAUUAAGUAAGAGCUAGACUGGGCUGAUGAGCCCAGCUUCUCGUUAUACCUUGUGAGCACUCCCGUGUCACGUAAAUAUUAAUGUAUAAUAAUGCGGAGGAUGCGAGUAACGCGAGAAACCUAUUCCAUUAUCAGUAAAAUUUGUGUGCGUUAUAAUUUAGGGGAAGAUGGGUUUGCGGAUACGAAAAUUUUUGUGCAUUUGUUAAAUUUUUCGUGAAAGACACGGAAGACGCAAUUAGUCUCCACAACUGCUACUUUCAAGUCGUUAAAGUCGGAAAUGGACAUUAAACAUAAGAUGAAAGAUAGGACGAAAGAUAGGAAAGAUAGGACAAUGAAACAUAAGAUAAAAGAAAAAAAAAGAAGUAUUUUCGUAAGAUAAUAAAAAAUGACAAAAUGAGUUUUAAAUCAGAUAUAGUAGACAAUGUAGUAAUGUUGUAAUUUCCUUUUUAUUUCCUUUUACAUAAAUCAUGUACAUAGUAUUUACACGUACAAAUUAAUGUGAGGAUUUCUAGAAGUCUUUCACUUCGACAUAAAAUGUUUUUUAUAUAUAAAUUGUUAUUUUUAAUUCUCUAAUUAUCUAAGCAAAUUAUGUUUCUGUCAAUAUUAGUAAGUGCAAUGUUUAGUUUCCGAGAAAUAAGGGAGUAUCGCAGAUUAGUUUUUGCAAGACGAGUUUAAAUUAUUUUUAAAAAUACAAUAAUAUUGGAGAAAUAACAGCUUGUUAAAAAUAUAAAGAAACACGAGAAAGAGGUGAUAAAAUCGCGUCAUUCUAAGCGUGACACGAGCGUGACGAGACCGUAGGACCUUCCGUUAUUUACUCCUUGAUGCAGCAGCAUAGAAGCCAGGAAAGUGGUGCAACAGUAGACUCGCCGCGGCGUUUCAUCUUUCACCGCAAAACCACGUCGGCAGGAAGUAAAGCCCGUCUUCGUAGACUUUAGAAACUGGCCGAGUGGUUUUAUUAUGAUACGCCUCGCGUUACUUCUUUUAAUAUUUGCCCCUUUUUUCUAAAAUGGAUUACUAUAAAAUAUCAAGUCAUAAUUGCAUAAUAAUUAUAUAAACAUAGCAAGUUAAAAAAAUAAUAAUUUAUAUAAAAUUAUUAUUAGCACCAAGAUUUUUUUGACUGAAAAAUGACAUUUCCUAUUAUUUUC